Molecule: unclassified non-coding RNA, 250 nt
Filed under: Glomus sp.
Lineage: Eukaryota; Fungi; Glomeromycota; Glomeromycetes; Glomerales; Glomeraceae
Description: partial contains 5.8S ribosomal RNA and internal transcribed spacer 2
Rfam family: 5.8S ribosomal RNA (bases 1-65)
Source: RNAcentral
GUGAAUCAUCGAAUCUUUGAACGCAAAUUGCACUCUCUUCUGAGAGUAUGCCUGUUUGUGUUCCAGCCUAAAAUAUAUCGACGUAGUCUCUUUGUCGCGGUGACAUUCGUCGGUAGUUGUGUCGUCGUAUACCUUUAGGUUUUUUAAGCGGCUUAAAAUUUUCUUUACGAUGCCACGAACGUUUCUAAGAUUUACUUACACGUUUAAGCUAUCGAUCUUUAUUAUUCGUGACUUUUGCAUUGGAACCAGG